CGUGUGGUUCUAUUUUGUUGGUUAUGGGACCGCCGUAAUGAUUAAUAGGGACAGUCGGGGGCAUCAGUAUUCAAUUGUCAGAGGUGAAAUUCUUGGAUUUAUUGAAGACUAACUACUGCGAAAGCAUUUGCCAAGGAUGUUUUCAUUAAUCAGGAACGAAAGUUAGGGGAUCGAAGACGAUCAGAUACCGUCGUAGUCUUAACCAUAAACUAUGCCGACUAGGGAUCGGGCGAUGUUACUUUUUGACUCGCUCGGCACCUUACGAGAAAUCAAAGUUUGUGGGUUCCUGGGGGAGUAUGGUGGCAACGCUGAAACUUAAUGAAAUUGACAGAAGGGCACCACCAGGGGUGGAGCCUGCGGCUUAAUUUGACUCUACACGGGGAAACUCACCAGGUCCAGACACAAUGAGGAUUGACAGAUUGAGAGCUCUUUCUUGAUUUUGUGGGUGGUGGUGCAUGGCCGUUCUUAGUUGGUGGAGUGAUUUGUCUGCUUAAUUGCGAUAACGAACGAGACCUUAACCUGCUAAAUAGCCCGUGUUGCUUCUGCAGCACGCCGGCUUCUUAGAGGGACUAUCGGCUCAAGCCGAUGGAAGUUUGAGGCAAUAACGGGUCUGUGAUGCCCUUAGAUGUUCUGGGCCGCACGCGCGCGACACUGACAGGGCCAGCGAGUUCUCCCUUGUCCGAAAGGACCGGGUAAUCUUGUUAAACCCUGUCGUGC
Molecule: ribosomal RNA, 717 nt
Filed under: uncultured fungus
Lineage: Eukaryota; Fungi
Description: SSU rRNA
Rfam family: Eukaryotic small subunit ribosomal RNA
Source: RNAcentral